AUUGAACGCUGGCGGCAGGCUUAACACAUGCAAGUCGAGCGGGGGAAGGUAGCUUGCUACCGGACCUAGCGGCGGACGGGUGAGUAAUGCUUAGGAAUCUGCCUAUUAGUGGGGGACAACAUCUCGAAAGGGAUGCUAAUACCGCAUACGUCCUACGGGAGAAAGCAGGGGAUCUUCGGACCUUGCGCUAAUAGAUGAGCCUAAGUCGGAUUAGCUAGUUGGUGGGGUAAAGGCCUACCAAGGCGACGAUCUGUAGCGGGUCUGAGAGGAUGAUCCACCACACUGGGACUGAGACACGGCCCAGACUCCUACGGGAGGCAACAGUGGGGAAUAUUGGACAAUGGGGGGAACCCUGAUCCAGCCAUGCCGCGUGUGUGAAGAAGGCCUUAUGGUUGUAAAGCACUUUAAGCGAGGAGGAGGCUACUCUAGUUAAUACCUAGGGAUAGUGGACGUUACUCGCAGAAUAAGCACCGGCUAACUCUGUGCCAGCCGCCGCCGUAA
RNAcentral lists this ribosomal RNA (501 nucleotides) under uncultured bacterium. RNAcentral's name for it is "partial 16S ribosomal RNA". It matches the Rfam family "Bacterial small subunit ribosomal RNA", at positions 30 to 523 of the family's 1533-position model. The record is from RNAcentral.